GACGAACGCUGGCGGCGUGCUUAACACAUGCAAGUCGAACGGAAAGGCCCUGCUUUUGUGGGGUGCUCGAGUGGCGAACGGGUGAGUAACACGUGAGUAACCUGCCCUUGACUUUGGGAUAACUUCAGGAAACUGGGGCUAAUACCGGAUAGGAUCUCCUGCUGCAUGGUGGGGGUUGGAAAGUUUCGGCGGUUGGGGAUGGACUCGCGGCUUAUCAGCUUGUUGGUGGGGUAGUGGCUUACCAAGGCUUUGACGGGUAGCCGGCCUGAGAGGGUGACCGGCCACAUUGGGACUGAGAUACGGCCCAGACGCCUACGGGAGGCAGCAGUGGGGAAUAUUGCACAAUGGGCGGAAGCCUGAUGCAGCAACGCCGCGUGCGGGAUGACGGCCUUCGGGUUGUAAACCGCUUUCGCCUGUGACGAAGAGUGAGUGACGGUAAUGGGUAAAGAAGCACCGGCUAACUACGUG
This 468-nucleotide ribosomal RNA is filed under the name uncultured bacterium. RNAcentral's name for it is "partial 16S ribosomal RNA". It matches the Rfam family "Bacterial small subunit ribosomal RNA", at positions 28 to 507 of the family's 1533-position model. The record is from RNAcentral.